Molecule: ribosomal RNA, 554 nt
Filed under: uncultured bacterium
Lineage: Bacteria
Description: partial 16S ribosomal RNA
Rfam family: Bacterial small subunit ribosomal RNA
Source: RNAcentral
UAGGGAAUCUUCCACAAUGGACGCAAGUCUGAUGGAGCAACGCCGCGUGAGUGAAGAAGGCUUUCGGGUCGUAAAACUCUGUUAUUGAAGAAGAACGUGCGUGACAGUAACUGGUCAUGCAGUGACGGUAUUCAAUCAGAAAGUCACGGCUAACUACGUGCCAGCAGCCGCGGUAAUACGUAGGUGGCAAGCGUUGUCCGGAUUUAUUGGGCGUAAAGCGAGUGCAGGCGGUCUUUUAAGUCUGAUGUGAAAGCCUUCGGCUUAACCGAAGAAGGGCAUCGGAAACUGGGAGACUUGAGUGCAGAAGAGGAGAGUGGAACUCCAUGUGUAGCGGUGAAAUGCGUAGAUAUAUGGAAGAACACCAGUGGCGAAGGCGGCUCUCUGGUCUGUAACUGACGCUGAGGCUCGAAAGCGUGGGUAGCAAACAGGAUUAGAUACCCUGGUAGUCCACGCCGUAAACGAUAAAUACUAAGUGUUGGAGGGUUUCCGCCCUUCAGUGCUGCAGCUAACGCAUUAAGUAUUCCGCCUGGGGAGUACGACCGCAAGGUUGAAAC